GACGAACGCUGGCGGCGUGCUUAACACAUGCAAGUCGAACGGAAAGGCCCUGCUUUUGUGGGGUGCUGGAGUGGCGAACGGGUGAGUAACACGUGAGUAACCUGCCCUUGACUUUGGGAUAACUUCAGGAAACUGGGGCUAAUACCGGAUAGGAGCUCCUGCUGCAUGGUGGGGGUUGGAAAGUUUCGGCGGUUGGGGAUGGACUCGCGGCUUAUCAGCUUGUUGGUGGGGUAGUGGCUUACUAAGGCUUUGACGGGUAGCCGGCCUGAGAGGGUGACCGGCCACAUUGGGACUGAGAUACGGCCCAGACUCCUACGGGAGGCAGCAGUGGGGAAUAUUGCACAAUGGGCGGAAGCCUGAUGCAGCAACGCCGCGUGCGGGAUGACGGCCUUCGGGUUGUAAACCGCUUUCGCCUGUGACGAAGCGUGAGUGACGGUAAUGGGUAAAGAAGCACCGGCUAACUACGUG
RNAcentral lists this ribosomal RNA (468 nucleotides) under uncultured bacterium. Its description in RNAcentral is "partial 16S ribosomal RNA". It matches the Rfam family "Bacterial small subunit ribosomal RNA", at positions 28 to 507 of the family's 1533-position model. The record is from RNAcentral.